Long non-coding RNA from Rhipicephalus sanguineus (brown dog tick), 404 nucleotides. RefSeq lists it as uncharacterized. Lineage: Eukaryota; Metazoa; Arthropoda; Arachnida; Ixodida; Ixodidae. The record is from RefSeq and is a predicted model, not a curated record. The transcript has 3 exons.
GUCGUCCGAUCGCAACGUCUGCGUUGGUUCUCGGGUGUCGGAUCGUCAAAAGGAGCUUCUGCUGGCUUUUGUGAAAGAGCACCCACAGAUCGCGAGUCUGUCGUGCCCGCUGGAGCCGUCGUUCACGAGGGAGGACCGGGACGACAUGUGGCAGGAGCUAGUAGCGCUUUUGAACGAAGAAGUCCCUGCGCGUAACACCAGGGCCCAGUGGCAGGCCCGAUGGAGGAAUGAGCGCUACUAUUCGCAGCAGGGUCUUGCCAAACUCCGAGGGCAGCAGAGCAGCACCCGAGGCGGCCAGAUUUCGGAUUACCGCGGCCGCGUCGUGCUUGACAGGGACGAGUGUGCGAGGCCCAUAGUUCGGGUGGUCUGAAUCGGUGAGCCCUGCUCCAGCUGCUACUGGUGUG